AGUAGUUCGAUCCGUGCUCGAGGACGAACGCUGGCGGCGUGCUUCAAAACAUGCAAGUCGAACGGAGUUAAUUUAGCUUGCUAAAUUAACUUAGUGGCGGACUGGUGAGUAACGCGUGAGUAAUCUGCCUAUUACAGGGGGAUAACAGUUGGAAACGACUGCUAAUACCGCAUAAGACCACGGGAAGGCAUCUUCAAGGGGUCAAAGGGAUACUGGUAAUAGAUGAGCUUGCGUAUCAUUAGCUAGAUGGUGAGGGUAAAGGCCCACCAUGGCGACGAUGAUUAGCCGAUCUGAGAGGAUGACCGGCCACACUGGAACUGAGAUACGGUCCAGACUCCUACGGGAGGCAGCAGUUAGGAAUAUUGGGCAAUGGAGGAAACUCUGACCCAGCAACGCCGCGUGAAGGAAGAAGGUUUUCGGAUUGUAAACUCCUGAUCUUGGGGAAAAAGAAAGUGAUGGUACCCAAGGAGAAAGCCACGGCUAACUACGUG
This 491-nucleotide ribosomal RNA is filed under the name uncultured Eubacteriales bacterium. RNAcentral's name for it is "bacterial SSU rRNA". It matches the Rfam family "Bacterial small subunit ribosomal RNA", at positions 1 to 507 of the family's 1533-position model. The record is from RNAcentral. Lineage: Bacteria; Bacillati; Bacillota; Clostridia; Eubacteriales.